CCCUGACUCCUGUGUCGAGAGGUCCAGGCUCUCCUGCUGGAGACAGAGGCUAUACAGUAAUGGGCCAUGUGGAGAGAGAAGCCACGAGGAGGAGACCCACAGUGUGCCAGCCAACAGCCCUACCUAAGUUGGGUCCUGUGGGGAAGGUCAUCUUGUCGGAGCCACGGUAACACCACACAGAGCAGAGCUUUGGUUGUGGAGCACUGCCUAAAUGCCCAGCCUGCAAAAUGUAUUGCUCUAGAUGGACAACUGAUCCUGCCCAGCCCCAGCAUCAGCAUCAGCAACAGCAGAAGAAGCAGAGAAACUUAUUGUUUCUUAAAGAGAGGACCUUGCAUGGCAUCUCUAGGUGGUCUGCUGGGAGCCUGGGCCCUGCCCUCUGCGUAUCCCUGGGUGAUGGGCAUGCCAACCACUGCUCUGCAUUCUACCAGUACGACAGCUCCCACUGGAGCAUUAAGAUCAUUGUGGGGCAUUUGAGAGUUGGCAGAAUGCACGCCAUGAUUAGGAAUGUGGGGUCUUCAGGAGCACCUGGGUGGCUCAGUGGGUUAAGCCAGUGCCUUCGGCUCAGGUCAUGGUAUCAGGAUCCUGGGAGAGAGCCCUGCAUCAGGCUCUCUGCUCAGUGGGGAGCCUGCUUCCCCCUCUCUCUCUGCCUGCCUCUCUGCCUACUUGUGAUCUUUCA
Molecule: long non-coding RNA, 676 nt
Filed under: Mustela putorius furo (domestic ferret)
Lineage: Eukaryota; Metazoa; Chordata; Mammalia; Carnivora; Mustelidae
Description: lncRNA (ENSMPUG00000026491.1)
Source: RNAcentral